Molecule: long non-coding RNA, 233 nt
Organism: Sinocyclocheilus grahami
Lineage: Eukaryota; Metazoa; Chordata; Actinopteri; Cypriniformes; Cyprinidae
Exons: 3
Source: RefSeq, a predicted model, not a curated record
CAGAGUUUACACGGGACCGACUGAAAUUGAGGAUGAAAAUGCACUGAAGAAACAGACGGAUGAGCACCUGGCUCUUGCUGUACUAAACCGCUGGGAAGAUAUUCCACAGAUCGGCUGUAAACUCGUCCCAGAGCACGUGGAGACGAGGCCUCUCCUGAAUCCGGAUAAACCUGGGAUGGAGCAGGGGAGGGUUGAGAUGUGGGUGGACAUGUUCCCGAAGGAUAUGCCUGCGC